AGAACGAACGUUGGCGGCGUGGAUUAGGCAUGCAAGUCGAACGAAUCCCCGUGGGGGUAACUCUGCGGGGGAAGUGGCGAACGGGGCAGUAAGGCGUGGGUAACCUACCCUGGGGACGGGGAUAGCCUUCCUAACGGAAGGGUAAUACCCGGCGACGUAGCGAGGGCGCAUGCCCUUGUUACCAAAUGAGUUUCGCCCUGGGAGGGGCUCACGUGGUAUUAGCUGGACGGCGGGGUAACGGCCCACCGUGGCCAAGAUGCCUAGCAGGUGUGAGAGCACGACCUGCGCCACUGGCACUGUGACACUGGCCAGACUCCUACGGGAGGCUGCAGUCGAGGAUCUUCGGCAAUGGGCGCAAGCCUGACCGAGCGACGCCGCGUGUGCGAUGAAGGCCUUCGGUUGUAAGCACUGUCGAGGGAAGAAGCCGCAAGGUUGAUCGACCCUGGAGGAAGCACGGGCUAAGUUCGUGCCAGCAGCCGCGGU
RNAcentral lists this ribosomal RNA (483 nucleotides) under uncultured bacterium. RNAcentral's name for it is "SSU rRNA". It matches the Rfam family "Bacterial small subunit ribosomal RNA", at positions 26 to 521 of the family's 1533-position model. The record is from RNAcentral.